GAAUAAGGGCAUUGAACACAUUUCUGAUGUUGGGAAAGUGGCAGGAGAUGCCAGAGAAAAUAAAGAUGACACAGCAGUAGCAGCAAGGAUUCUAAACCCACAGGGUCCUGAACAAGAGGACUUGGAACAAGGUGCAGACGAUACUCAGCAAUGCAAAGAAUUCAAAAAAAGAGCAGGCCCUGGCGGCUUAGUUGGAGAUAAGGCCAGCAAACAACUCAGAAUUAUGCCAUAACUCCACUCUCAAAAAAGAGCAAAAUCACUGUGUGGUCUUAAAAAAUUAUAACUGACUGUUCAUGAUUUUUAACACCAGAGAGAUUUCUUCAGUGAAAAUUCUGAAGAUAGGAUAGGAUGGAUUCAGAGUGUUGGAAAAGUUGGCAAAAGAAUGACCAUCCAACUUCUGGACUUAGGUUUUCAAAACCUUUCAUUUUAUUUCUCUCUGGAUCUACACUCUGGUGCUCGUGGCUUGACACAGUGGCAUUUCUGCUCAAGAAAAAAGGAGGCAUGGAGUCUCAAACGAGUCUGCUUUCCCUCACCAACCUCUGCCAAUAUCUGCUAUCAAUUCAAAAUGACUUAUCCUGGAUUCAUUUGUCCUUGUUUAAAAUGAAACAUGGUCUGCCGGUUUUUAUAUAUAAUGCCUGAAAAAAAAAGAAAAAAAGAAAAGAAAACAAUCAAACGCAGAACAGAACUCAGCUGAUGUAAAGGCCCAUGGUAAAAUGCCAGUCUGGCUAAAAAUGAAAGAUCUUUCCUGAAUCCUGGGACAUUUACAGGGUGGAACUUACUGUGCUGCUGCUCUCUGAUGCCAACCUCUCUCCUAUCACAACUAUAUCAGCAUGCGUCAGUGCUGCCAUUCUGGCCACAGGCCAUGGGUAGUUUGAGCCCCACUGUGGCCUGACAGUGGAUGUUAUUGAUGGGUGCCACCAUCCUGCUCUCUGCACUGCUGGUGAGGGACCAGUGUGAACCCAGGAAUGAUUGGGCUAAAGUUAGUUACUGACUAGUAGUACUGUUAGUUGAAAAAUGCCACUUGAGUCCAUGGCUCCCGGUGCUGGAGGAAUGAACCCGUUGUGAACAAAAAUUAGCCAGGAUAUAUUCUGGGCUUUAUUAAAUUUCUUUAAAGCUUUCCAAGUCAUUUGCAGAAGUGUAGAUGAGCUUUAGCAAGAUGAUAGGUUAAGGAAGUGAAUGAGAACAUUGGACUGGAGAUACAAGGGUGAUGAAUUAGCGUGCCUUUGUGGAAGUAAGUCUCUUUCUGCAUCAAACUGCUGUUUCGACCUUCCUAAUUAAUGUUGUUGUUUUUCUUCUUACUGUAGUAUAAGCUGUCCUAGCCUGACCUAUUGGUUCACAAGAUAAAAGGGGUUAGCAAAUCAGGAUGGAGAUCCCCUCUACUGGCUUAUCCAAAUCUUUACUAAAACUGUAAUAUCCACGAACACAAAUAGAACAACACAUCUAAGAAUUAUGUAUCUCAGAGUUUAAAGAUGGGGGGUUAAAAAAAAGAAAUAGUCAAUGUUGCUUUGAGGUUAUUUUGAAAACUGAAACUGAAUAGGUCAAUACCCCUUAAGCUUUUUGGUCUUUAAUUCUCUUAAUGGUAUGGCAGCAAUCGUUAAUUGUAUUAUU
Molecule: long non-coding RNA, 1608 nt
Filed under: Dromaius novaehollandiae (emu)
Lineage: Eukaryota; Metazoa; Chordata; Aves; Casuariiformes; Dromaiidae
Description: lncRNA (ENSDNVG00000011904.1)
Source: RNAcentral